RNAcentral lists this non-coding RNA (27 nucleotides) under Homo sapiens (human). Lineage: Eukaryota; Metazoa; Chordata; Mammalia; Primates; Hominidae. The record is from RNAcentral.
UGCUCUCCAAGACAUAACCUGAUGGCC